Molecule: ribosomal RNA, 457 nt
Filed under: uncultured microorganism
Description: bacterial SSU rRNA
Rfam family: Archaeal small subunit ribosomal RNA
Source: RNAcentral
GUGCAGCAGUCGAGAAACCUCCGCAAUGCUCGAAAGAGCGACGGGGGGACUCCAAGUGCCUACGCUUUGCGUAGGCUUUUCCCAAGCCUAAAAAGCUUGGGGAAUAAGGGCUGGGUAAGACGGGUGCCAGCCGCCGCGGUAAUACCCGCAGCCCGAGUGGUGGCCGCUUUUAUUGGGCCUAAAGCGUCCGUAGCCGGUCUGGUAAAUGCCUGGGUAAAUCGUCUGGCUCAACCAGACGAAUUCCGGGUAGACUGCCAGACUAGGGACCGGAGGAAGGAGAGGGUACUCCGGGGGUAGGGGUGAAAUCAGCAAGGUGAGUUGUUGAUGUAACUUGCCUUGCAAGUCACAAUCCUGUAAUCCUCGGAGGACCACCGGUGGCGAAGGCUCUCUCCUAGGACGGGUCCGACGGUGAGGGACGAAAGCCAGGGGAGCAAACCGGAUUAGAUACCCGGGUAGU